RNAcentral lists this ribosomal RNA (484 nucleotides) under uncultured bacterium. Its description in RNAcentral is "partial 16S ribosomal RNA". It matches the Rfam family "Bacterial small subunit ribosomal RNA", at positions 29 to 507 of the family's 1533-position model. The record is from RNAcentral.
AUUGAACGCUGGCGGCAUGCUUUACACAUGCAAGUCGAACGGCAGCGCGGGCUUCGGCCUGGCGGCGAGUGGCGAACGGGUGAGUAAUGCAUCGGAACGUGCCCAGUAGUGGGGGAUAGCCCGGCGAAAGCCGGAUUAAUACCGCAUACGACCUGAGGGUGAAAGCGGGGGACCGAAAGGCCUUGCGCUAUUGCAGCGGCCGAUGUCGGAUUAGCUAGUUGGUGGGGUAAAGGCUUACCAAGGCGACGAUCCGUAGCUGGUCUGAGAGGACGACCAGCCACACUGGAACUGAGACACGGCCCAGACUCCUACGGGAGGCAGCAGUGGGGAAUUUUGGACAAUGGGGGCAACCCUGAUCCAGCCAUGCCGCGUGCGGGAAGAAGGCCUUCGGGUUGUAAACCGCUUUUGUUCGGGAAGAAAUCCUCUGGGCUAAUACCCCGGGGGGAUGACGGUACCGAAAGAAUAAGCACCGGCUAACUACGUG